This 461-nucleotide ribosomal RNA is filed under the name uncultured bacterium. RNAcentral's name for it is "partial 16S ribosomal RNA". It matches the Rfam family "Bacterial small subunit ribosomal RNA", at positions 338 to 795 of the family's 1533-position model. The record is from RNAcentral.
CCUACGGGAGGCAGCAGUGAGGAAUAUUGGUCAAUGGGCGGGAGCCUGAACCAGCCAAGUCGCGUGGGGGAAGAAGGUCCUAUGGAUUGUAAACCUCUUUAGGCGGGGAACAAUGCCGGGCACGCGUGCCCGGAGGGAGAGUACCCGCAGAAUAAGCAUCGGCUAACUCCGUGCCAGCAGCCGCGGUAAUACGGAGGAUGCGAGCGUUAUCCGGAUUUAUUGGGCGUAAAGCGCUCGUAGGCGGUAUGUCAAGUCAAGGGUGAAAUCCCCGCGCUCAACGUGGGAACUGCCUUUGAAACUGGCAAACUGGAGUGUGUGAGAGGAGAGUGGAAUUCCAGGUGUAGGAGUGAAAUCCGUAGAUAUCUGGAGGAACAUCAGUGGCGAAGGCGACUAUCUGGCACAUAACUGACGCUGAGGAGCGAAAGUGUGGGUAGCAAACAGGAUUAGAUACCCUAGUAGUC